Molecule: ribosomal RNA, 253 nt
Filed under: uncultured bacterium
Lineage: Bacteria
Description: partial 16S ribosomal RNA
Rfam family: Bacterial small subunit ribosomal RNA
Source: RNAcentral
UACGAAGGGGGCUAGCGUUGCUCGGAAUCACUGGGCGUAAAGGGUGCGUAGGCGGGCCUUUAAGUCAGGGGUGAAAUCCUGGAGCUCAACUCCAGAACUGCCUUUGAUACUGAAGAUCUUGAGUUCAGGAGAGGUGAGUGGAACUGCGAGUGUAGAGGUGAAAUUCGUAGAUAUUCGCAAGAACACCAGUGGCGAAGGCGGCUCACUGGCCCGAUACUGACGCUGAGGCACGAAAGCGUGGGGAGCAAACAGG